AUAUCUGCUUGAUAGCUGCAGCACCAAAGCUUACUCAGGCAAGAAUGUGGGAAACUCGACUGCAUAAUUUGUGGUAGUGGGGGACUGCGUUCGCGCUCUCCCCUG
Molecule: small nuclear RNA, 105 nt
Filed under: Ochotona princeps (American pika)
Lineage: Eukaryota; Metazoa; Chordata; Mammalia; Lagomorpha; Ochotonidae
Description: U1 spliceosomal RNA (ENSOPRG00000022767.1)
Rfam family: U1 spliceosomal RNA (bases 27-105)
About the family: U1 is a small nuclear RNA (snRNA) component of the spliceosome (involved in pre-mRNA splicing).
Source: RNAcentral